This 304-nucleotide unclassified non-coding RNA is filed under the name uncultured Diaporthales. RNAcentral's name for it is "sequence contains ITS1". The stretch from base 1 to 105 matches the Rfam family "5.8S ribosomal RNA", at positions 50 to 154 of the family's 154-position model. Lineage: Eukaryota; Fungi; Ascomycota; Sordariomycetes; Diaporthales. The record is from RNAcentral.
GAAAUGCGAUACUUGGUGUGAAUUGCAGAAUUCAGUGAAUCAUCGAAUCUUUGAACGCACAUUGCGCCCUCUGGUAUUCCGGAGGGCAUGCCUGUUCGAGCGUCAUUUCAACCCUCAAGCCUGGCUUGGUGAUGGGGCACUGCCUGUAAGAGGGCAGGCCCUGAAAUCUAGUGGCGAGCUCGCCAGGACCCCGAGCGUAGUAGUUUAUAUCUCGCUCUGGAAGGCCCUGGCGGUGCCCUGCCGUUAAACCCCCAACUUCUGAAAAUUUGACCUCGGAUCAGGUAGGAAUACCCGCUGAACUUAA